AUAACAAUACAGGACUCUUUCAAGGCCCUGUAAUUGGAAUAAGUCCACUUUAAAUCCUUUAACGAGGAUCUCUUGGAGGGUAAGUCUGGUACAGAGCGACUGACCCGUGCGUGCUGCAGCUGAAACUCCAC
Pelobates cultripes (western spadefoot toad) is the source of this 131-nucleotide non-coding RNA. The record is from the annotation of a GenBank genome assembly. NCBI's taxonomy places the organism in Eukaryota, Metazoa, Chordata, Amphibia, Anura, Pelobatidae.